AGCUGGAGUGAUGAGGCGAACCUGUUUGGUGGGGGAUCCUGCAGUGUUGGGACCUUCACUCAGACUCCUGACGACAUGCACAGGGGCCAUCUGACCAGC
Molecule: small nucleolar RNA, 99 nt
Organism: Pygocentrus nattereri (red-bellied piranha)
Lineage: Eukaryota; Metazoa; Chordata; Actinopteri; Characiformes; Serrasalmidae
Product: small nucleolar RNA SNORD67
Exons: 1
Source: RefSeq, a predicted model, not a curated record